UUAGCAAUUUAUGACAAAAUCAGCAAUGCAGCCUGCCUCAGGCAGGACGCUUAAGGGGUGAUAAUAUCUUCCCUUUUGCGUAAACAGUCUCGUAUCAUAGAAUAUCUAUUGACCAGUUAGGGUUCCUAGUAACCAUAAUACUAGGUGGCGACUCCUUAAACAAGACCAUUCCCCAUAAAGAACAGGAUGCCAUAAAUCCGUUCUUUUUCAAAAUUUAUUUUUAAGACCGCCGCGAUGUCGGGUGCUACAAUGUGAAAUAAGACAAGUCAUUUUAAGAGGAAGUUUUAACCAAAUAAGGGCUUUGUUUUGGAUUAGACUAAUCAAAUGAGGAGACCUAUGUCAUGUUAUUGAUACAAUGAGGGACAAGUAAAUUGAUGAGAAAAGAAAACGAACACCCUCUUUUUUAUAAGAUGAGGUUCGGCCAAAUGAACACCAAAAGGAGGAUGAAGACCGAAUUUAAAUUGAAGUAUGAUUUUGUAUAAGGAAAUGUAUUAUUGUGAUUGUUAAGAAUAAAUUAUGGAAAAAAAAUCCAAUGGCAUUGGUAUGUUUUAUUAAGAAUAACAUGAGAUUGAACAUGAAAAGAAUUGUUGUGUUUCUUACCAUGGUUUGGAAUUUAAGUUUUGAUUGAGAGUUGAAUAAUAUUUUCAUAAAAAAUCAAAUUAUAUGGGAUGAGUUACUCCUAUGACAUAGGAGAGGUCGCGAGUUCAAUACAACAAUAAGAAGUUUUUGCUCGAGUACAGAUUUCAGGUAGGUGCAUUGUAUCUUUGUUAAUUAAUCAUGUCAAAUUCUUGAUAAUGCGCUUUUAUAAUUUCUUUGAUUUCAUUAUAAGUUCUUAAUAGAUCGAUUGUGAAAAACUAAAAAAGAUGCCAGUAUAUUUGACUAUCGAAAAACUAAAAUGACUAGUUUCUGAAAUGAAAAUUAAUGGCAUCAAUAUAUUUGAUGAUCGAGAAAAAUUAAAUUAAGUGGUUCCAAUGAUGGAAACGAGUAGUUAUUGUCAAAUAGAAAAAUUAAAUUGAAUUGACGAUCAACAAAAUUAAAGACAAUUGGGAAUAAAAAUUUAAUGAAAUAAUCAAGAUUAAAUAUUUCUUAUGAAAUCAUUGAGAAUUACUAUGUUGAAAGGGUUUUUUUAUCCUUAAUCUUAAAUAACAUACAAAAUUGUUGAAUUCGUUAUUCUAUAAUUUAAUUACAUCUUUUGUUUUCAGGCUCAUCUUUUUUUAUGUAAUAUAAUGACAUUAGAAUAGUUUGUGCAUGUAACUGAAUUUCUAGUAGUUCUUAAUCUACGAUAAUAUUAGGAACCUUAUCCUUGUCCUGUAAAACGUUGGAUGUUCUCUUUAAUGUACAUGUGAACUUAAUUGUCUACUAUAUAUGACAUGUGUUAUAUACGUUAAGUAGUUGACAUGCAUUCUAAAGCUAAAUUAAUGUUGAAAGGAAGUGUAAUGAUUGAUAAAUGCAUUGCGAAUAAAUAAUAGGAUUAUAGGAGAGCUUUCAUGUAUGAGACGUUGCCGUGUUGGUCUUGGUCUUGACUUUUCAACAUGUAAUUAAAUAUAUUGAUGGGAGAGCUUAUAUUGGUGUUGACUAAAGAAAAAUAAAGAAAACAAUAAUGAUAAUAGAUGAGUGAUUAAGAGAAAAAUUAGAAUCAGUCAACUCCACUUAAAUUUACACCUCUCUGCAUAUAAUUAAAGCGUGCUUCUCCUCUUGAUUUCUUCAUCUCUCCUCCUCUGGCCAAAAACAAAAUGAGUAGCAGCAGCAGCAGCAAAUAUCUCUCUCUCACAAACUCAUCUUUAUUCACACCUCUGCACCUCUCCUUCCUGUUCCUCCAUCUCACCAUCCUUGUAACCGGGGAUUUACCACCACCUUACGUCCCUCUCGAUAGCAUAGCGCUUGAUUGUGGUUCAUCCGCCAAUAGUGUUGGAAACGUUGGGCAAUGGACUGCAGACAUCAACUCAAGAGUGGCCCUUCUAGAUCAAAACAACCUCUCAACACAUCCCACAGAAAAUGUAGCCUCCACUAGCUUUGUACCUUAUUAUACUGCUCGCGUCUCUCUCUCCCAAUUCACCUACACGUUUCGUGUCAACAAAACAGGACCUAAGUUUGUUCGCCUCCAUUUUAAUCCUGCUUCCUACACUGGUUUCUGUAAACAAUUAUGAGUUCAGAAGAAUCUUAUUGAUUAUAUUCAGUAUCAUCACAUGUACAUUUAUAUUGUUUACAGAGGGAAGUUGUUACACGAGAUAAGAAGAUAAGAGAGGAUUCAUGACCACUACUAGAUAAAGAUGACAUAGAAGUCCUGCAUGGACUUUCCUCUGUUUCUGUUACAGCCUCUCUCAAGCUCACGGGGAGAGAACGAAUCAUGAGCUUGUCUCUUAGCAGAAGAAAACAAGCUAUGCAUGAAAGACAGAAUUUGAUGUCAGAGCAAGAGCUCAAAUAUUAUCAACCCAGAGGGUUGGGGAGGCUGUCCGGGGAAUAUGCAAAUCUUUGAAAAGCAUUCGAAUCCAAUAGAGCUCAGCAGUAGUGAUUGCCAUGGAACGAUAUUCAGCCUCUGUACUAGAACGAGCAACGACAGGUUGCUUCUUUGCCGCCCAUGAGAUUAAACAAGGACCUAAGAAAAUCCCGUAGUUAGUGGUGGAGCGCCUAUCAUCCGGGCUCCCAGCCCAAUCUGAAUCACAGUAGCCAUGUAAUUGCAAAAAACCUUUUGAAAAGUAAAUGCCAUGCUCAACUGUAGAUUUAAGGUAUCGAAGGACCCUCUUUGCAGCUGUAAAGUGUGUAGUUGUGGGAGCAUGUAAAAAUUGGCAGAGUUGAUUCACACUAAAUGCAAUAUCAGGUCUUGUCAAGGUACAA
This is a long non-coding RNA of Populus trichocarpa (black cottonwood), 2835 nucleotides long. RefSeq lists it as uncharacterized. The transcript has 2 exons. The record is from RefSeq and is a predicted model, not a curated record. NCBI's taxonomy places the organism in Eukaryota, Viridiplantae, Streptophyta, Magnoliopsida, Malpighiales, Salicaceae.